ACGCUGAGAUACGAUGUCGAGCACCUACGGGUGUGAAGUCAUUGAUGCCAUGCUUCCAGGAAAAGCCUCUAAGCUUCAGAUUGUAAGGAAUCGUACCCCAAACCGACACAGGUGGUCGGGUAGAGAAUACCAAGGCGCUUGAGAGAACUCGGGUGAAGGAACUAGGCAAAAUGGUACCGUAACUUCGGGAGAAGGUACGCUCUUAUCAGUGAAGUCCCUUGCGGAUGGAGCAGACGAGAGUCGCAGAUACCAGGUGGCUGCAACUGUUUAUUAAAAACACAGCACUGUGCAAAAUCGUAAGAUGACGUAUACGGUGUGACGCCUGCCCGGUGCCGGAAGGUUAAUUGAUGGGGUUAGACUUCGGUCGAAGCUCUUGAUCGAAGCCCCGGUAAACGGCGGCCGUAACUAUAACGGUCCUAAGGUAGCGAAAUUCCUUGUCGGGUAAGUUCCGACCUGCACGAAUGGCGUAAUGAUGGCCACGCUGUCUCCACCCGAGACUCAGUGAAAUUGAAAUCGCUGUGAAGAUGCAGUGUACCCGCGGCUAGACGGAAAGACCCCGUGAACCUUUACUACAGCUUGGCACUGAACAUUGAACCUACAUGUGUAGGAUAGGUGGGAGACUAUGAAAUUGCGUCGCUAGAUGUGAUGGAGUCGUCCUUGAAAUACCACCCUUGUAGUUUUGAUGUUCUAACGUUGGCCCCUGAAUCGGGGUUACGGACAGUGCCUGGUGGGUAGUUUGACUGGGGCGGUCUCCUCCCAAAGAGUAACGGAGGAGCACGAAGGUGGGCUAAACACGGUUGGACAUCGUGUGGUUAGUGCAAUGGCAUAAGCCCGCUUGACUGCGAGAAUGACAAUUCGAGCAGGUGCGAAAGCAGGUCAUAGUGAUCCGGUGGUUCUGAAUGGAAGGGCCAUCGCUCAACGGAUAAAAGGUACUCCGGGGAUAACAGGCUGAUACCGCCCAAGAGUUCAUAUCGACGGCGGUGUUUGGCACCUCGAUGUCGGCUCAUCACAUCCUGGGGCUGAAGUCGGUCCCAAGGGUAUGGCUGUUCGCCAUUUAAAGUGGUACGCGAGCUGGGUUUAGAACGUCGUGAGACAGUUCGGUCCCUAUCUGCCGUGGGCGUUGGAAAAUUGAAAGGGGCUGCUCCUAGUACGAGAGGACCGGAGUGGACGAACCUCUGGUGUUCGGGUUGUCAUGCCAAUGGCAUUGCCCGGUAGCUACGUUCGGAAUCGAUAAGCGCUGAAAGCAUCUAAGCGCGAAGCGAGCCUUGAGAUGAGUUUUCCCUGGCACUAUAAGUGUCCUAAAGGGUUGUCGUAGACUACGACGUUGAUAGGCAGGGUGUGUAAGUGCUGCGAGGCAUUGAGCUAACCUGUACUAAUUGCCCGUGAGGCUUAACC
This 1395-nucleotide ribosomal RNA is filed under the name Vibrio toranzoniae. Its description in RNAcentral is "bacterial LSU rRNA". It matches the Rfam family "Bacterial large subunit ribosomal RNA", at positions 1553 to 2925 of the family's 2925-position model. Lineage: Bacteria; Pseudomonadati; Pseudomonadota; Gammaproteobacteria; Vibrionales; Vibrionaceae. The record is from RNAcentral.